RNAcentral lists this ribosomal RNA (506 nucleotides) under uncultured bacterium. RNAcentral describes it as "partial 16S ribosomal RNA". It matches the Rfam family "Bacterial small subunit ribosomal RNA", at positions 29 to 523 of the family's 1533-position model. The record is from RNAcentral.
AGUGAACGCUGGCGGUAGGCCUAAAACAUGCAAGUCGAACGGUAGCACAGGAGAGCUUGCUCUCUGGGUGGCGAGUGGCGGACGGGUGAGGAAUACAUCGGAAUCUACUCUGUCGUGGGGGAUAACGUAGGGAAACUUACGCUAAUACCGCAUACGACCUACGGGUGAAAGCAGGGGACCUUCGGGCCUUGCGCGAUUGAAUGAGCCGAUGUCGGAUUAGCUAGUUGGCGGGGUAAAGGCCCACCAAGGCGACGAUCAGUAGCUGGUCUGAGAGGAUGAUCAGCCACACUGGAACUGAGACACGGUCCAGACUCCUACGGGAGGAAGCAGUGGUGAAUAUUGGACAAUGGGCGCAAGCCUGAUCCAGCCAUACCGCGUGGGUGAAGAAGGCCUUCGGGUUGUAAAGCCCUUUUGUUGGGAAAGAAAUCCAGCUGGCUAAUACCCGGUUGGGAUGACGGUACCCAAAGAAUAAGCACCGGCUAACUUCGUGCCAGCCGCCGCCGUAA